AGAGCACAAGGAGAAUGCCUUGGCACUAGGAGCCGAUGAAAGACGUGGUAAGCUGCGAAAAGCUUCGGGGAGGCGCAAACAGCCAUCGAUCCGGAGAUAUCUGAAUGGGGAAACCUACUUGAGCAAACCUCAAGUAUCCAUACGUGAAUCCAUAGCGUAUGGAAGGGAACGCUGUGAACUGAAACAUCUAAGUAGCAGUAGGAGGAGAAAGAAAACUCGAUUUCCUAAGUAGCGGCGAGCGAACGGGAAAGAGGCCAAACCGAAGGACCUGGUUCUUCGGGGUUGCGGACUGCAAUUAGCAUUGCUGAGAGAUAGACGAAUGGUUUUGGGAAAGCCAGCCGUAGACGGUGAAAGCCCGGUAGACGAAAUCUUGAAGCAGCGAGCAGGAUCCAGAGUACCACGAGACACGAGAAACCUUGUGGGAAGCCGGGGGGACCACCCCCCAAGCCUAAAUACUCCCUAGUGACCGAUAGUGAAGCAGUACUGUGAAGGAAAGGUGAAAAGGACCCCGGGAGGGGAGUGAAAGAGAACCUGAAACCUUGUGCUUACAAACAGUCAAAGGCCUACGCAAGUCUGAUGGCGUACUUUUUGUAGAACGGUCCGGCGAGUUACUAAUGCCAGCGAGGUUAAGAUGUCAGAAGCAUCGGAGCCGAAGGGAAACCAAGUCUGAAUAGGGCGUAGAGUUGGUAUUAGUAGACCCGAAACCGGGUGACCUAUCCAUGUCCAGGUUGAAGGAACCGUAAAAGGUUUUGGAGGACCGAACACACAUGUGUUGAAAAACGUGGUGAUGAGGUGUGGAUAGCGGAGAAAUUCCAAUCGAACUCGGAGAUAGCUGGUUCUCCUCGAAAUAGCUUUAGGGCUAGCCUCGAGCUGGAGUCUAACGGAGGUAAAGCACUGAACUGACGCGGGGCCCAAAAAGGUUACCAACUCAUAUCAAACUAAGAAUGCCGUCAAGAUACCCUCGGGAGUCAGUCUGCGUGAGAUAAGUCGCGUGGACAAAAGGGAAAGAGCCCAGACCGACAGCUAAGGUCCCAAAGUACGUGUUAAGUGGAAAAGGAUGUGGGAUUUCAUAGACAACUAGGAUGUUGGCUUAGAAGCAGCCAUACAUUUAAAGAGUGCGUAAUAGCUCACUAGUCGAGAAAACCUGCGCCGAAAAUGUAACGGGGCUAAAACACGACACCGAAGCUACGGAUUUCCUACAAGGUAGGAAGUGGUAGAGGAGCAUCCUGCAAGGACGAAGCCAAAGUGAGAGCGAUGGUGGACGAAACAGGAGAGAGAAUGCCGGAAUGAGUAGCGAGAUACAUGUGAGAAACAUGUAGGCCGAAUAUCUAAGGAUUCCUGGGUAAAGCUAAUCUUCCCAGGGUUAGUCGGGGCCUAAGGCGAGGACGAAAGUCGUAGUCGAUGGAUAACAGGUUGAUAUUCCUGUACUACACAUAAUCAGAACUGUGGGGACGCAGGAGGAUAGGGAAACCGGGGAAUGGAAAGACCCGGUCAAGCGUAAAGCUGUGGGAGAUAGGCAAAUCCGUCUUCUGUAAGUGAAACGUGAUGAGGACUGAAAAAAAGUAAGGAAGUUUCCGAAUCCACACUGCCGAGAAAAGCCGCUAUUGCGUUAUGUGUACCCGUACCGUAAACCGACACAGGUAGAUGAGGAGAAAAUCCACAGGCCGACGGGAGAAGUGUUGUUAAGGAACUCGGCAAAAUGACCCCGUAACUUCGGGAUAAGGGGAGCCUCGCAAGAGGCCGCAGAAAAGAGGCACAAGCAACUGUUUAGCAAAAACAUAGGUCUAUGCGAAACCGUAAGGUGAAGUAUAUGGGCUGACGCCUGCCCGGUGCUGGAAGGUUAAAAGGAGAGGUCAGCGCAAGCGAAGCUUUGAAUUCAAGCCCCAGUAAACGGCGGCCGUAACUAUAACGGUCCUAAGGUAGCGAAAUUCCUUGUCAGGUAAGUUCUGACCCGCACGAAAGGCGUAAUGAUUUGUGCACUGUCUCGACAACACGCCCGGUGAAAUUGAAGAACCAGUGAAGAUACUGGUUACCCGCAACAGGACGGAAAGACCCCAUGGAGCUUUACUGCAGCCUGAUACUGGGAUUCGAUGAUAUAUGUACAGGAUAGGUGGGAGGCUAAGAAGCGAGAACGCUAGUUUUCGUGGAGCCGCCGGUGGGAUACCACUCUUAUGUCAUUGAAUUUCUAACCUGCAUCCGUAAUCCGGGUGAGGGACAAUGUCAGGCGGGCAGUUUGACUGGGGCGGUCGC
RNAcentral lists this ribosomal RNA (2250 nucleotides) under human gut metagenome. RNAcentral describes it as "bacterial LSU rRNA". It matches the Rfam family "Bacterial large subunit ribosomal RNA", at positions 14 to 2286 of the family's 2925-position model. The record is from RNAcentral.